GCAGUGGAGAGUGGCUGUCAUUUGAGGCCAAAGAAGUUGAGUUCAAAUCCCAGCUAUGCCAGGUCAUAGCUGUGAAGUCUUCAGCAAGUCACUUAACCUCUCUGAACCUCUGCUUUCUCAUUUGAGAAAUGGGAUAUUGUUCAAGGAUGAAGCAUUUACGAUUAAGUCAAUCAUCUGGGAAACUGUGAAGCUAGGCAAAGGGACCCUUCUAGAGGAACCACCUCGACAACAGGUCUGCCUCCUUCUUAAAACUACAAGAUAUAGGCUCCAAGAAUUGGACUCUGGGCUGCACAGCUGGCUAAGAUGCAGGUGGUGUGAUGGGUGUCCAGGGAGGACAAGCCCCCAGCCACAGAGGUGGCACAGGACCAGAGAAGAGAAGCCGGCAUCCCAAGAAGGAUGAGUGGCAACUGGCCAAUGGAAGAGGUGCUGGGAGACGGUUGUUCCAGCAGCCGGAACAGCAAGUGCUAAGGCUCUGAGCUCCCCUGCUGCCCGCCCACCCCUGAAACCAGGCAUCCAGCUGCCUCCUCUGGGCUUGGCUGUGUCCUUUCAUCCUCCUGCUUCUCAGUCAGAAGAACAAGACAACGAGAAGGGACACUGGACACUGGGAACCUCAAAAGGAGAGUGAGGGAGCCGGAGGCCAGAUACCUACCACCCUCCACUCAUCUCCACUCAGCUCUGCUUUCUGAGGACAGAAGUGCCUGGGAGGCAGGGCUGGUCACUAUUGGUGGGCAGUGCAGGGGGGUCUAGGACUGAAGGGUCCUGGGCCCAGUCCCCACUCAGCCCCUGUGGGCCCUGGUGGCUGUGCUCAGGCCUGGGGGAGCCUCUGGGCUGGGGGUGGGGGUGAGGUGCUGUACAGAGAGAGAUGGAACCAGG
Molecule: long non-coding RNA, 873 nt
Organism: Odocoileus virginianus texanus
Lineage: Eukaryota; Metazoa; Chordata; Mammalia; Artiodactyla; Cervidae
Source: RefSeq, a predicted model, not a curated record